AUUGUGUUGUGACCUACGUCUCCAGAGGCUUUACAUACUUCUGAAAGCUCUCUUGGAACUCUUUCCAGUUGCCAUGUGAACAAGUCUGAGAAAUUCUGCUGAAGGAUUCCCUAAGCAUCCUAGGGCAGCUAGGAACCAGUUAAUCUAGCAGGGGAUUGCAGAUGCAUGACUGAGCCCAACUGAGACCAGAGGACCAUCCAGAUAGACCCAGCCUAAACUGCUGACCUGCAGAAGUGCAUGUCUUUUGGCCAUUUAUCUUAUUGGAGAGGAAUAUGCCAUAUUCUUGUGAAAAGAACCGGACAACAAAACCAGAUUUGAAAGGCAAAAGACUGAUGUGUUAUGAAUCAUGUGAGAUUGAUGCUGCCACCCCAUGUGUGAAGCUUCAGAGACUCAGGAAUGUCAACAGGACUUGGCUGAUGUCACACACAAGAACAUCUCGAUGGACACAUGUUACACGGGGAAAUCUCUAGCAUGUGCUUAGUAGGAGCACAAGUGUAAAAGCAGAUGAAUUCAACACCCUGCAAAACGUUCAGGCCAAAUGCUGAAGAGCCUCAUUUAAACAGACAAA
Camelus dromedarius (Arabian camel) is the source of this 568-nucleotide long non-coding RNA. RefSeq lists it as uncharacterized. Lineage: Eukaryota; Metazoa; Chordata; Mammalia; Artiodactyla; Camelidae. The transcript is spliced from 4 exons. The record is from RefSeq and is a predicted model, not a curated record.